UUAGCAUGGAAUAAUAAAAUAGGACGUGUGGUUCUAUUUUGUUGGUUUCUAGGACCGCCGUAAUGAUUAAUAGGGACAGUCGGGGGCAUCAGUAUUCAAUUGUCAGAGGUGAAAUUCUUGGAUUUAUUGAAGACUAACUACUGCGAAAGCAUUUGCCAAGGAUGUUUUCAUUAAUCAGGAACGAAAGUUAGGGGAUCGAAGACGAUCAGAUGCCGUCGUAGUCUUAACCAUAAACCAUGCCGACUAGGGAUCGGACGGUGUUAUUUUUUGACCCGUUCGGCACCUUACGAGAAAUCAAAGUGCUUGGGCUCCAGGGGGAGUAUGGUCGCAAGGCUGAAACUUAAAGAAAUUGACGGAAGGGCACCACCAGGGGUGGAGCCUGCGGCUUAAUUUGACUCAACACGGGGAAACUCACCAGGUCCAGACACAAUGAGGAUUGACAGAUUGAGAGCUCUUUCUUGAUUUUGUGGGUGGUGGUGCAUGGCCGUUCUUAGUUGGUGGAGUGAUUUGUCUGCUUAAUUGCGAUAACGAACGAGACCUUAACCUGCUAAAUAGCCCGUAUUGCUUUGGCAGUACGCUGGCUUCUUAGAGGGACUAUCGGCUCAAGCCGAUGGAAGUUUGAGGCAAUAACAGGUCUGUGAUGCCCUUAGAUGUUCUGGGUCGCACGCGCGCUACACUGACGGAGCCAGCGAGUACUUCCUUGUCCGAAAGGUCCGGGUAAUCUUGUUAAACUCCGUCGUGCUGGGGAUAGAGCAUUGCAAU
This 762-nucleotide ribosomal RNA is filed under the name uncultured fungus. RNAcentral describes it as "SSU rRNA". It matches the Rfam family "Eukaryotic small subunit ribosomal RNA", at positions 804 to 1590 of the family's 1831-position model. Lineage: Eukaryota; Fungi. The record is from RNAcentral.